CCUACGGGAGGCAGCAGUGGGGAAUAUUGGACAAUGGGCGCAAGCCUGAUCCAGCAAUGCCGCGUGAGUGAGGAAGGCCUUCGGGUUGUAAAGCUCUUUCGGCGGGGACGACGUACCCGCAGAAGAAGCCCCGGCUAACUUCGUGCCAGCAGCCGCGGUAAUACGAAGGGGGCGAGCGUUGUUCGGAUUUACUGGGCGUAAAGGGCGCGCAGGCGGCGAGUUUUGUCAGGCGUGAAAGCCCCGGGCUCAACCUGGGAAUUGCGCUUGAAACGGGCUUGCUAGAGAUCGGGAGAGGAGCGUGGAAUUCCCAGUGUAGAGGUGAAAUUCGUAGAUAUUGGGAAGAACACCGGUGGCGAAGGCGGCGCUCUGGACCGAACUGACGCUGAGGCGCGAAAGCGUGGGGAGCAAACAGGAUUAGAUACCCUUGUAGUC
Molecule: ribosomal RNA, 432 nt
Filed under: uncultured bacterium
Lineage: Bacteria
Description: partial 16S ribosomal RNA
Rfam family: Bacterial small subunit ribosomal RNA
Source: RNAcentral